UACGUAGGUGGCAAGCGUUGUCCGGAUUUAUUGGGCGUAAAGCGCCCGCAGGCGGCUUGAUAAGUUUCAGGUGAAAUCUCCCGGCUCAACCGGGAGGGUGCCUGGAAAACUAUCAGGCUUGAGUCAUGGAGAGGGAUGUGGAAUUCCCGGUGUAGUGGUGAAAUGCGUAGAUAUCGGGAGGAACACCAGUGGCGAAGGCGGCUUCCUGGUCCACGCCUGACGCUCAAAUGCGAAAGCUUGGGGAGCGAACGGG
RNAcentral lists this ribosomal RNA (253 nucleotides) under uncultured bacterium. Its description in RNAcentral is "partial 16S ribosomal RNA". It matches the Rfam family "Bacterial small subunit ribosomal RNA", at positions 524 to 776 of the family's 1533-position model. The record is from RNAcentral.